Molecule: long non-coding RNA, 937 nt
Organism: Onychomys torridus (southern grasshopper mouse)
Lineage: Eukaryota; Metazoa; Chordata; Mammalia; Rodentia; Cricetidae
Exons: 3
Source: RefSeq, a predicted model, not a curated record
AGGGCAGGUGCUCUUAGCUUUAUGCCAAGUAUGACUCGAAUCAUGUGACCCCCCUCACAGGAAAAUAGUUUCAAGGUCUCUCACACCCAGCAAAGAUAAUUCUAUUACAGAAAUGCCACUUUCCACGAAGGAGACAUGAAGUAUUUAUGUGUGAGAAAACAAGUUCCCAAGAACUGGCAGGGAAGACAGACCAAGAGGGACAGGGAUCCCUGCCCAGUGAGUAUCGCUGUCUUCACACACCAGCCAUGAGCAAAGCCACUGGACACCAAGCCCGAAGACCUGAGUUUGAUUCCCAGUGCCAUCAUGAUGGAAGGGGAAAACUGACUGCUGCAAACUGUCCUUUGACCGGUGAGAAGAUAAAUUCAGUCUCUGUAACUUUAUUGUAGCCUAAAGUGGAACUGAUAUCAAGGAGAGCAUGCUGGCUGAGAGCUGAAUGGCAGGAGAAGGGCAUAACAGUCCGUGGUGGUCAAGGGGAAGGCUGCUAGAAGGCUUGACCACACAAAGGAGCCUUGAGCUGCAAUUCAGAAGCAGACCAAAGGACUCCGGAGGAACACUUCAAUGGAGAAGCAUAAAUGCUGUGGUGAUUGGAAGGUCCUCAUGUGGACAGGUCUGCUUUCCUUCCAAGGACUUUCUAUAGCUCCACUAGACUAAUUGGAGCAUUUGGAAAUUUAGAAAGGACUGAAAAAUAUUUAUAACCAUAGGAAUUAUUAUUAUUGUUAUUCUAAUGCUUGCUUUCUAUUACCUCUCCUGGGGAGAAAAUUGGUAGGUACUUGGUAUGUGGAGCAGAAAGGAACGUACCCUGACAAGGUGUUUUUGUGAGUUUGUUUUCUUUGGUGUGCAAUCAUGAGGACUGCUCCUUAAUGGUCUCCUGAUGGGUGAUGAGAUCUCCAGGCUGUAAUUGUGCCGUUACUGCCUGGGAGAUUUUACCCUUGUCAAU